Long non-coding RNA from Thunnus maccoyii (southern bluefin tuna), 291 nucleotides. RefSeq lists it as uncharacterized. The record is from RefSeq and is a predicted model, not a curated record. The transcript has 3 exons. NCBI's taxonomy places the organism in Eukaryota, Metazoa, Chordata, Actinopteri, Scombriformes, Scombridae.
AUCCUUAACAUGCUGCCUCGCUUCUUUGCCCUCUGGACUCAUUUGCCUGUUUGGACUUCUCAAUGCCUAAGACCAAAUGGACCCAAAUCACCCAUCUUCCCCUGCGAGGCCAGAGAAAAACCAAGACGGAUUAAAUGUAAUACUGACCUGAGAUAUGUUUAAGAGCUGAAAACACAAGCUUUAAGGGCACAGUUAAGCUUUGUGAAGAUGUUAGGUGAGCCAUCCUACCGUCUUCCCAAUGCGUCCAUCCUUCCCUGGACGUCCACUUUUGCCAUCAUCCCCCUGAAAACA